GGGCGAAUGGUUUAGUGGUAUAAUACUCCCUUAGCAUCUGUUCCCUACUCUCCUCGAGAGUAGGACAAUUGUUACCUGGGAGUGGUCCGGGGUUCGAUUCCCCGUUUGUCCA
This 112-nucleotide transfer RNA is filed under the name Beauveria bassiana ARSEF 2860. It matches the Rfam family "tRNA". From Rfam's summary of the family: Transfer RNA (tRNA) molecules are approximately 80 nucleotides in length. The record is from Rfam by way of RNAcentral. Lineage: Eukaryota; Fungi; Ascomycota; Sordariomycetes; Hypocreales; Cordycipitaceae.